GCAUAGGUGAGCCAAGUCCUCUGCCUGAGCUACAGGCUUCCAUAAUAUAACCUGCCCUGCCCUGACUAAAGAGAGUGAACAAUGGGAGGCCUCAAACUCAGAAUCAGUACAACAUUGAUGAUUCCUCCAAAUUUGGCUUCUAAGUUGUGAUGGACCCUGUAAUGCCUGGACCAGAGUUGAAGCAGGAGAAGACGGAUACAUGGUGGAAGUGAAUUACAAAGUGAGGUGUAAUUUAACAAAUGACUAAGUUUGAAAAAUGACUAAUAAACUACUUGCAAACAGAAGUAAUCAACAAGGAUACACAUGAAAAGGAAACAAAAGCCAACAAGCACUUAUGAGUCCACUUAAGAAGGAAAAUAAAAACGUUUAAAAAUUACAAAAAUAUAAGCAGCUAAACCACCACCGGGCCCAAGUGUACAGCUCCUUUCCCAGGACAGGAAAACAUGUCCAAGAUCUCCAGCCCAACCCUCAAACAGAGACAUGUUUUUGACUCAGGUACCCUACAUAAUAAUGAACCUGAAGAUGACUUGCUACAAAUGGCUAGGAAGCCAUUCAGGACAUUUCCACUGGUCUUUCUUUCAACAUGCCACAAUGACAAUCAAUGGAUUAUGAGAUUACUAGGGAUAUUGAGACCCUGGGAGGACAUACAGAGAGAGUUCAACAUUUAUCAGCUGUACUCAAAGCAGACACCAUUGCCUAUACCCGUAAAGUUACCGAGUUUAAAAAAUGCUCUUUAUUUGGUGUGACUGGUAGGAUAUUUAGACUUGACUAUCCUUGCUUCCCACAUGGAACUUAUUCCACUGGAUAAAGGCAAGCACUUGGCAUUUUGCAUACAUCGUGUUGGUUAUUUUAGCAUAUAAUUCCUUUGAGGAAGAAUAAUGAUAACAAGCACCAGAGACUAUUAUCACACCAGAAGGAACAAACCGACUAUGCAUGAUUCUGGCACAUACAUCUGUGCAAACUGACCGAAGAAACUUCUUCAGGAAAUGUUCCAUCUCCAUGAUGACACCUCAGGCCUGGAAUACUGUAUUCCAGAUUCUUGGUUCAUUCAGCCCCAUGAGGUCAUUGCCGUUUCUGCCAAAACACAGGGUCUAUAGACAUUGAUCAUACAUGAGGGAUGCAUGGCUCCAGAGACUCAACAGACUUCCUGAUGCUUUAUUUAUCAUUUGCUUUUUUCCAAAAUGUUAACAUACAGAAACCUGAGAAACAACAAUGGAAGCUAAUUAUGAAGAUUACUGGACUCUUUGUUUUGUUUUGUUUUGUUUUGUUUUUCAUUAAUAAAAGAAGAAAUACCUCUCCCAUGGCCAUGAAGCACAUUCUCCCACUUGACACUGAUCAGGUUUGGGUGAUGCCAUACAAUGAUUGGCUUAGCUCAAAGUUCAACAGCUCCAACCCUACUAUGACCCCACUUGCAACAUUUUGUUUGAAAGUGAUUGCAUUUCCUUUUAUUUCUGAAUGUGUUUUCAACUUGGUGCAUACCAAACCUGGAGAAAAUAUAAAUUUGGGAAAAUAUGUAUAUGCCACAGGGAUCACAACAAUUUCCUGUGAUCUAUACUAUUUCAACCAUUUUGCUUAAUAACUGUAUAUUCUAGUGCCUAAGAUUUAUUUUCCUGCAUUUAUUUGCCUAUGAGUAAUUUGAGUAUAUAAUGUAUAUUUUCCUUUCCUUUUGUGGUCUGAAUUUGAAAAUUGCUGUGAAAUUGUUAAUAAUUCCUAUAUGUGGUCCCCAUCACUGUGUAUGCCUCAAAGGACUAGGUGAUGGAAUGUAAUAAACAUGGGGAGAAGGCUUUUGAUUUUGCUUUUUAUUUUAUUAAAAGUUUUUUAUUUAUUUUA
This is a non-coding RNA of Peromyscus maniculatus bairdii (prairie deer mouse), 1830 nucleotides long. Lineage: Eukaryota; Metazoa; Chordata; Mammalia; Rodentia; Cricetidae. The record is from RefSeq and is a predicted model, not a curated record.